RNAcentral lists this non-coding RNA (86 nucleotides) under Maritimibacter alkaliphilus HTCC2654. Its description in RNAcentral is "Singlet oxygen resistance RNA X". It matches the Rfam family "Singlet oxygen resistance RNA X". From Rfam's summary of the family: SorX (RSs2461)like SorY is a singlet oxygen induced sRNA that counteracts oxidative stress by targeting mRNA for a transporter in Rhodobacter. Lineage: Bacteria; Pseudomonadati; Pseudomonadota; Alphaproteobacteria; Rhodobacterales; Roseobacteraceae. The record is from Rfam by way of RNAcentral.
CCCCCUCGAAGCUGGUCAUCGAGACUUCUCUGGCCAGUUUCACCUCCCUGUUGGACUUAGGCCGGGCCUCGUGCCCGGUCUUUUUU